GCCGGCGGACGCGCGCUCGCCCCGAUGGCGUCGCGAAAGCGAGGCGUAUCGGGGAGGAACUUCCGGACUCCUCGGGAAUUAUGCCUGCCGAAAGACAGGGCCGGCGCGGCGAAAGCCGCGCCGGACGGAAAGUGCAACAGAAAAUAUACCGCCCUUCGCGGCUUGCCGUAAAGGGUAAGGGUGAAAAGGCGCGGCAAGAGCGCACCGUCCCGGCAGCGAUGCCGGGGCUGGCAAACCCCAUAAGGAGCAAGGACAAAGCUGCCCAUGGUUUCCCGGCCGUCCCCCGCCGCCGCUGUAAUGGCGGGGGGCAGGGCAAAGUGGUCCGCUCAGACAAAUGAUCGCGGCUCCGCCUACGCAGUACCGGCGGGGAACAGAAUCCGGGGUAUAGUCCGCCGGCUUAA
This 401-nucleotide RNase P RNA is filed under the name Elusimicrobia bacterium CG08_land_8_20_14_0_20_51_18. RNAcentral describes it as "RNase P RNA component class A". It matches the Rfam family "Bacterial RNase P class A". Rfam says of the family: Ribonuclease P (RNase P) is a ubiquitous endoribonuclease, found in archaea, bacteria and eukarya as well as chloroplasts and mitochondria. Its best characterised activity is the generation of mature 5'-ends of tRNAs by cleaving the 5'-leader elements of precursor-tRNAs. Lineage: Bacteria; Pseudomonadati; Elusimicrobiota. The record is from RNAcentral.